RNAcentral lists this transfer RNA (74 nucleotides) under bacterium. RNAcentral's name for it is "tRNA-Lys". It matches the Rfam family "tRNA". Rfam says of the family: Transfer RNA (tRNA) molecules are approximately 80 nucleotides in length. Their secondary structure includes four short double-helical elements and three loops (D, anti-codon, and T loops). Further hydrogen bonds mediate the characteristic L-shaped molecular structure. tRNAs have two regions of fundamental functional importance: the anti-codon, which is responsible for specific mRNA codon recognition, and the 3' end, to which the tRNAs corresponding amino acid is attached (by aminoacyl-tRNA synthetases). tRNAs cope with the degeneracy of the genetic code in two manners: having more than one tRNA (with a specific anti-codon) for a particular amino acid; and 'wobble' base-pairing, i.e. permitting non-standard base-pairing at the 3rd anti-codon position. The record is from RNAcentral. RNAcentral also lists the same sequence under 3 other names.
GGGCCCGUAGCUCAGUUGGUUAGAGCACUGGAUUUUUAAUCCAGGGGUCCCGGGUUCGAAUCCCGGCGGGCCCA